This 458-nucleotide ribosomal RNA is filed under the name uncultured bacterium. RNAcentral's name for it is "partial 16S ribosomal RNA". It matches the Rfam family "Bacterial small subunit ribosomal RNA", at positions 338 to 795 of the family's 1533-position model. The record is from RNAcentral.
CCUACGGGUGGCAGCAGUGAGGAAUAUUGGUCAAUGGACGAGAGUCUGAACCAGCCAAGUAGCGUGAAGGAUGACUGCCCUACGGGUUGUAAACUUCUUUUAUAUGGGAAUAAAAUGCUCCACGUGUGCCUUUGUAUGUACACUCUGUGUAAGGAUCGGCUAACUCCGUGCCAGCAGCCGCGGUAAUACGGAGGAUCCGAGCGUUAUCCGGAUUUAUUGGGUUUAAAGGGAGCGUAGGUGGGUUGUUAAGUCAGUUGUGAAAGUUUGCGGCUCAACCGUAAAAUUGCAGUGGAUACUGGCAGUCUGGAGUACAGUAGAGGUAGGCGGAAUUCGUGGUGUAGCGGUGAAAUGCUUAGAUAUCACGAAGAACUCCGAUUGCGAAGGCAGCUCACUGGACUGCAACUGACACUGAGGCUCGAAAGUGUGGGUAUCAAACAGGAUUAGAUACCCGAGUAGUC